UCCGAUGCCCUCAGGCUUCUCCGUGGGUCGGUUUCCUGAGGCUUGCCCAUCUACAGGUCAGCUUCCAAGGCCUCCAUCAUCGCAUCUCUUCCUAGCAGCUGCGUUCAGAUGUUAUCUCCCCUGGCCUCUUUCUUCUCCAGCAACUUUCACUUUGGAGAGCCGAAUACGAAGCUUCAGGUUCCUCUGUGGGUUUGUUUCCUGUGGCUGGCCCCUGCACAGACGCCAAGCUCUACCUCCUCCGUGACAUCCCCUGGGUCCUGUCUCCAGGGAGUCCGAUGCCCUCAGGCUCCUCCCCGAGUUCCUUACUCGUGGUUGGCUCCUCCACAGGACAGCUUCUAAGGCUUCACCUCUUCCUCGCAGCAGUGUUCAAAUGCUAUCUCCCUUAGCCUCUUUCUUCUCCCUCUGUGCUCCAGCUGCUCCAUGAUAUCCCCUCAGUUCAGCCUCGAGAGAGUAUGAAGCCUUCAGGCUCCUCGGUGGGACAGUUUCCUGGGCCGUCCUUUCAUGAGCCUCCAAGGUCCAGCAUGUGAGAGCCCCUCAGUCUAGGGUCCAGGGAGUCUGACGCCCUCAGGCUACUCCCUGGGUCUGUUCCCCGAGCCUGGCCACUCUGCAGACUCCGAGCUCCAGCUGCUCCAUGCCUCUGUUGUGACUCCAGGGAGUCCGACAACCUGAGGCUCCUCCCUUGGUGUGUGUCCCGUGGUUGGCCUCUCCACAGAUUAGCUUCCUCCGAGCUGGAGCUGUUCCAUGAUACCCCCUCAGCCUUGCGUCCAGGGACUGCGAAGCUUUCAUGCUCUUACAUUGGUCUGUUUUCCGUGGCCGGGCCCUCCACAUGUGAACUUCUAAGGCCUCCUGUGUCACACCACCUUCUCACGGCUGCGUUCGGAUGCUAUAUGCCAUAGCCUCUUUUUGUCAUGUAGCUUUCACUAUAUUUCAGCUGUAUUUUUUAUCAUAAUUUUAAUGUUGCAGACCUCGAGCUCGAGCUCCUUGAUGGCAGCCCCUCAGUCCUGGCCAGAGCUGAGCGUUUGUCCUCACGAGCCUCGCCCUCACCUCAAUUUUCUGGGAGAAAAAUUUUCCCCACCUCACCUAAAAAAAUUUUGGAAAAAAUUUUCCUCACCUCACCUCAAAAGUUUUUUGAAAAUUUUUCCUGACUUCACCUCAAAAAACGUUUUGAAAUUUUUCCUCACCUCACCUCAAAGGUUUUUUUGAGAAUUUUCCUCACCUCACCUCACCUCAAUUUUUUGUUGAGAAUUUUCCUCACCUCACCUCAAAAUGUUUCUUGAAAAUUUUCCUCACCUCAAACAUCACCAGAAAAAUUGGCCCUCACCUCACCUCAAAUAUCGUGAGGUAACGAUGAGGUGAGGGUGAGGAAACCCUCACCCUCGCAUGCCCUCGUGAGGGUGCCCACCUCUGGUCCUGGCUCCAGGGAGUCGGGUGGCGCCAGUCUUCUCCCUGGCUCUGUUUCCUGUGGGUGGCCCCUCCACAGCCUCCGAGCCUCCAUGAUAUCUCCUGGGUCCUGGCUUCAGGGAAUACAGUGCCUUUAGGCUUCUUGUGUUCAGGCCUCAGGCUCCUGUUUCCCAUUGUUGGCCCCUCUACAGGUAAGCCUCUAAGGCCUCCUUGGUCGCACCUCUUCCUCACAGCUAUGUUAGAAUGCUAUCUCCCAUGCCCUCUUUAUUGCCUUGCAACUUUCAUCUUGCAGAGCUGUACACGUUGUCGUGCUUGGCGCUCGAAAGAACCAUCUAGCUCGUCUGAUAACCAGAACACAAGUGACCUUUAUUCUCAUGCCAAACCACACAGCCAAAAAGCCCCGCAUAUCGAUGGCAUGACUAAUAAUUACACAAGAUACGCUCUGUCAUGCAGAUGGUGCUUAACCAAUCACUACAUCUCUCUUCAAACGGGAUUGAAGUUGCAAAACUAGUCUGGCUUCACAUGUCGGCCAACUCGAGCAUGUGUGGAUCGUGUGUCUCACUCACUCUUGAGGGCACAGACUCUGCCGUGGAAGUCUACUCCGACACUGCUGAAUCUUCUGACUAGGCCAUGUGAUGACCCGGCCUUAAGAGUGUUGAGGUAGUUCAGGCAGAUUCUCCUUGUCGUUGUGAUGAUCCGGGACUCGACAACGUUGUAUACUGCCCAGAGGAAUCACCACUAGACUCCUGGAAGUUUCAGUCUGGAAGGGCAUCGAAUGGUACCAGGUGUCUACAAUUUCACUGAAUGAUGCCUGUCUGAGUCUCGGUAACGUAUGUGUGCGGUGUUUUUGCUGGACUCAAUACUUUUUCUUUGCAGGGGAUGU
Long non-coding RNA from Ornithodoros turicata, 2284 nucleotides. RefSeq lists it as uncharacterized. NCBI's taxonomy places the organism in Eukaryota, Metazoa, Arthropoda, Arachnida, Ixodida, Argasidae. The transcript is spliced from 8 exons. The record is from RefSeq and is a predicted model, not a curated record.